GGUCAGUUAGCUCAGCAGGUUGGAGCACUGUGCUGGUAAUGCUGAGGUUGUUGGUUCAAACCCCAUAUGGGGCA
This 74-nucleotide transfer RNA is filed under the name Poecilia formosa (Amazon molly). It matches the Rfam family "tRNA". Rfam says of the family: Transfer RNA (tRNA) molecules are approximately 80 nucleotides in length. Their secondary structure includes four short double-helical elements and three loops (D, anti-codon, and T loops). The record is from Rfam by way of RNAcentral. Lineage: Eukaryota; Metazoa; Chordata; Actinopteri; Cyprinodontiformes; Poeciliidae.